Molecule: long non-coding RNA, 1838 nt
Organism: Saccostrea cuccullata (small rock oyster)
Lineage: Eukaryota; Metazoa; Mollusca; Bivalvia; Ostreida; Ostreidae
Exons: 3
Source: RefSeq, a predicted model, not a curated record
UAUCUAUAAAAAAUGAAUUUAUUCAAACAAUAACAAUAAUAAUUUAUGAUUAAUUAAAUACAAACAGAGUUUACUUAUGGAUAAUCGUACAGGAUAUAUAAUAGUCAGCUGAUUGGGUUCCUCAAUAUCAACAAUGGGAUAAUACGUUCAGCUGAUUCAGGUUGGGUUAGGAUAUGUAAUAAUUGGGUAGAUUGGGUUACCCAAGAUUUGAUAUUGGGUCAAAUUUACCCAAUAUUGGGGCAUUGGAUUUUACCCAAUUAUGGGGAGUUGGGAUUCUCUGAGCUGGCCAGAUGUUUACGAGUCUGACCAACGUCCCAGACUGAAGAAAAAGUCUAAAGUGCCUUCUUUAUAUACCUUUUGGUAUUCCGGUGCGAAUUAGUUCACGCGCGAAUAACAAGCGGUACCGCCAGUAUUCGCGCGACGUUUGUAUGGUAACACUAACAACUUUUGCAUCAAGUAAAGGCUUUAACAUUACGAAUGCGGGAAAAGGGAUGAUUUGUUGUUUGGGAAUUGUUUUGGAAACGAUGCCAAGUUGGAUUUGGGUACCUGGGUCGAAUAACAAUGUCAGACGGUCAUUUGUUAUUACGAUUGGGCUAAUCUAUGGAAGAAAUUCGGUUCAUCACUUCUUACCAAUCCUGGAUCCAUUGGAAUAGAAAAGUCACGACGGAGACACUCACGAAUCUUGAUCCACACUACAAAUAUUCACAAUUAUUAUACGGUUCACAAAGUUAAAUGAUAUAGUCCUUUGAAAUAUCCAAAAGGUCCAGUGCACGUCUAUGUAUUACGAAUCCAGCGUCAUUGCGAAAUGUCCAGGAUCAAUUCCGGAAGUACAUCACACGGCUUGGAGGGCUUCCUCACAGCAAGGCGGUACUAAAUCUGAUGCCACUGGGGAAGAUUGGAGAUUGGGAGAGGGUAAAUUAUGAUCCCGAUUAUCUUCCACUGCAUUGGACGAGGAUGGGCGUGAUUUGAAAGUGACUUCUGAAUCAAAACUUUCUUCAGUUUCCAUUGUAAAUAUUGGGUACAAAAAUUGAUUGGGUCAAUAAAAAUAUACAAAAAUUUAAGAAUUCUUUUGUCUUUAUAAUAGAAAAAUUUUGGUAAACAGAAAUAAGCAAAUGGAUAUCCCACUUCUGACACCAAAUUGUAACGUGACCCGAUCUUGGGUGUUACAAAAAUUAUGUGAGUCCUCUUAUUCCUGUGAUUUACCUUAAUUAAUCAACAAGAUUUGUUUAUCUAUAAAAAAUGAAUUUAUUCAAACAAUAACACUAAUAAUUUAUAAUUAAUUAAAUACAAACAGAGUUUACUUAUGGAUAAUCGUACAGGAUAUAUAAUAGUCAGCUGAUUGGGUUCCUCAAUAUCAACAAUGGGAUAAUACGUUCAGCUGAUUCAGGUUGGGUUAGGAUAUGUAAUAAUUGGGUAGAUUGGGUUACCCAAGAUUUGAUAUUGGGUCAAAUUUACCCAAUAUUGGGGCAUUGGAUUUUACCCAAUUAUGGGGAGUUGGGAUUCUCUGAGCUGGCCAGAUGUUUACGAGUCUGACCAACGUCCCAGACUGAAGAAAAAGUCUAAAGUGCCUUCUUUAUAUACCUUUUGGUAUUCCGGUGCGAAUUAGUUCACGCGCGAAUAACAAGCGGUACCGCCAGUAUUCGCGCGACGUUUGUAUGGUAACACUAACAACUUUUGCAUCAAGUAAAGGCUUUAGCAUUACAAAUGCGGGAAAAGGGAUGAUUUGUUGUUUGGGAAUUGUUUUGGAAACGAUGCCAAGUUGGAUUUGGGUACCUGGGUCGAAUAACAAUGUCAGACGGUCAUUUGUUAUUACGAUUGGGCUAAUCUAUGGAAGAAAU